Molecule: ribosomal RNA, 349 nt
Filed under: uncultured bacterium
Lineage: Bacteria
Description: bacterial SSU rRNA
Rfam family: Bacterial small subunit ribosomal RNA
Source: RNAcentral
GAUGAACGCUGGCGGCGUGCUUAACACAUGCAAGUCGAACGGACAAGAUGAAACCUAGUGAUUUUUGUUAGUGGCGGACGGGUGAGUAACGCGUGGGCAACCUGCCUCAUACAGGGGGAUAACACUUAGAAAUAGGUGCUAAUACCGCAUAAGCGCACAGUGCUGCAUGGCACAGUGUGAAAAACUCCGGUGGUAUGAGAUGGACCCGCGUCUGAUUAGCUAGUUGGUGGGUAAAGGCCUACCAAGGCGACGAUCAGUAGCCGGCCUGAGAGGGUGAACGGCCACAUUGGGACUGAGACACGGCCCAGACUCCUACGGGAGGCAGCAGUGGGAAUAUGCACAAUGGCGC